GUCUACGGCCAUACCACCCUGAACGCGCCCGAUCUCGUCUGAUCUCGGAAGCUAAGCAGGGUUAGGCCUGGUUAGUACUUGGAUGGGAGAAUAUUGAGAACAGGGAGGAAAUGGACA
Molecule: ribosomal RNA, 117 nt
Filed under: Mustela putorius furo (domestic ferret)
Lineage: Eukaryota; Metazoa; Chordata; Mammalia; Carnivora; Mustelidae
Source: RNAcentral